AACGAACGCUGGCGGCAUGCCUAACACAUGCAAGUCGAACGAGAUCUUCGGGUCUAGUGGCGCACGGGUGCGUAACGCGUGGGAAUCUGCCCUUUGGUUCGGAAUAACAGUUGGAAACGACUGCUAAUAUCGGAUGAUGACGAAAGUCCAAAGAUUUAUCGGCAGAGGAUGAGCCCGCGUAGGAUUAGCUAGUUGGUGUGGUAAAGGCGCACCAAGGCGACGAUCCUUAGCUGGUCUGAGAGGAUGAUCAGCCACACUGGGACUGAGACACGGCCCAGACUCCUACGGGAGGCAGCAGUGGGGAAUAUUGGACAAUGGGCGAAAGCCUGAUCCAGCAAUGCCGCGUGAGUGAUGAAGGCCUUAGGGUUGUAAAGCUCUUUUACCCGGGAUGAUAAUGACAGUACCGGGAGAAUAAGCUCCGGCUAACUCCGUGCCAGCCGCCGCGGUAA
Molecule: ribosomal RNA, 449 nt
Filed under: uncultured bacterium
Lineage: Bacteria
Description: partial 16S ribosomal RNA
Rfam family: Bacterial small subunit ribosomal RNA
Source: RNAcentral